GAUGAACGCUGGCGGCGUGCCUAAUACAUGCAAGUCGAGCGAACGGACGAGAAGCUUGCUUUUCUGAUGUUAGCGGCGGACGGGUGAGUAACACGUGCAUAACCUACCUAUAAGACUGGGAUAACUUCGGGAACCCGGAUCUAAUACCGGAUAAUAUUUUGAACCGCAUGGUUCAUCAGUGCAAGACGGUCUUGCUGUCACUUAUUGAUGGAUCCGCGCUGCAUUAGCUAGUUGGUAAGGUAACGGCUUACCAAGGCAACGAUGCAUAGCCGACCUGAGAGGGUGAUCGGCCACACUGGAACUGAGACACGGUCCAGACUCCUACGGGAGGCAGCAGUAGGGAAUCUUCCACAAUGGGCGAAAGCCUGACGGAGCAACGCCGCGUGAGUGAUGAAGGUCUUCGGAUCGUAAAACUCUGUUAUUAGGGAAGAAAAUAUGUGUAAGAAACUGUGCACAUCUUGACGGUACCUAAUCAGAAAGCAACGGCUAACUACGUG
Molecule: ribosomal RNA, 497 nt
Filed under: uncultured bacterium
Lineage: Bacteria
Description: partial 16S ribosomal RNA
Rfam family: Bacterial small subunit ribosomal RNA
Source: RNAcentral